This 511-nucleotide ribosomal RNA is filed under the name uncultured bacterium. Its description in RNAcentral is "partial 16S ribosomal RNA". The record is from RNAcentral.
GGAGUUAGCCGGUGCUUCUUCUGUGAGUGAUGUCCUUCCUGCCGGUUAUUGACCCGCAGGCCUUCUUCCUCACUGAAAGUGCUUUACAACCCGAAGGCCUUCUUCACACACGCGGCAUGGCUGGAUCAGGGUUGCCCCCAUUGUCCAAUAUUCCCCACUGCUGCCUCCCGUAGGAGUCUGGGCCGUGUCUCAGUCCCAGUGUGGCUGAUCAUCCUCUCAGACCAGCUACGGAUCGUCGCCUUGGUGAGCCGUUACCUCACCAACCAGCUAAUCCGACAUAGGCUCAUCCGAUAGCGCGAGGCCCGAAGGUCCCCCGCUUUCCCCCGUAGGGCGUAUGCGGUAUUAGCCUGGGUUUCCCCAGGUUAUCCCCCACUACCGGGCAGAUUCCUAUGCAUUACUCACCCGUCCGCCGCUCGCCACCAGGGAGCAAGCUCCCCGUGCUGCCGCUCGACUUGCAUGUGUUAGGCCUGCCGCCAGCGUUCAAUCUGAGCCANAGAGACCAACGUACUGA